Molecule: non-coding RNA, 68 nt
Filed under: unclassified sequences
Also listed under: 1 other name
Description: L2-Alphaproteobacteria ribosomal protein leader
Rfam family: L2-Alphaproteobacteria ribosomal protein leader
Source: RNAcentral
GGCCACCUACGGGGGGCUAUCACAUAGGUGAACUCAAGGGUUCACCACUGCUAAACGGAAGACAGAAA